AAGACCAGCAGUAGUAUUGUAUGAAGAAGAAGAAGAAGAAGACCAGUAGUAUAGUUUGAAGGAACAGAGAAGAAGAAUACCAGUAGUAUAGAAUGAAGGAACAGAGGAGAAGAAGGUUUGCAUCUUUGCACACUGACUUGUGUUUGGCGAACUCGUCCUGCAGCAGAGCCACGUAGUUCGCCGGGAUGAGUCCGGACUGCAGGGACCCGGUCAGCUUCUUGGCCAGCACAUACUCCCCCCCGCUUCUCGAUCACCGACAGUUUGGUCCCCCUCCCUCACCGUCAGCUCGUCGUCGCUGCGGGGCCUCGAAGUCGAAGAGCGCGGCGUAGAGCUGCACCGGCCGCUUCUUGGGCGAAGGGACGCGGAUGUCGCGGGACACGGUGCGGAUCUCCGACGCCUGGCGCGGCCCGGGUUGGCUAUGACAUGGUGGUGGUGGUGGUUGUUGUUGUUGACGACGUUCGGGUAGCUGAGGUCCGGCCAUAUGCAGUCCCAGAGCCGGCUCAGACACGGCAUACAGGAGCGACAGCAACUCUCCAUCGUGGGACACGAAGGAGCGCGGCCGCGCGGUUGUUCCAGGUUCGAUCCGAUCGAUGCGACGCGGGUUCCCGGACUUGACUCAGUCCGCUGAAAACGGCCUGUUACAGCCCGCAGCCACCAGCCGUUCAGUUCUCCGGUUCCCCUCUAUUCCCCUGGCUGGAAACAUACUGCAACGACAGCAACUGCUGGGGUAGAUUAGCCGGAGGAACCGGUUUCUUUUUGUUCCCUUCUGUUGAGAUCAUCUAAGCCGCGCGUCUGCAGCGUCCACCGCGGCGGCGGGAAUGCGGAAACGGCAGCGGAGGGCGUCCGAGACGUAUCGGUUCCCCGCGAGGACUCGGCGGUGCAACGCAAGACUAAUCGGGAAUGAGAGCGUGGGACCCGGGGACGUUUAGAUCCAUAGUGGUGCAAACGGGAAUCCGCAGCAGGGGGGGAGGGGGGGGGGAGGAGGCUGAAGGUGAAGCGGCCGCACGGUGCGUAAAAAGUUUGGGUUUGGCGCUUUGCGCCGCUCCUGCUGACACACCUGCCUAUUGACAAGAAG
Long non-coding RNA from Gasterosteus aculeatus aculeatus (three-spined stickleback), 1075 nucleotides. NCBI's taxonomy places the organism in Eukaryota, Metazoa, Chordata, Actinopteri, Perciformes, Gasterosteidae. The record is from Ensembl.